Molecule: long non-coding RNA, 994 nt
Organism: Paramacrobiotus metropolitanus
Lineage: Eukaryota; Metazoa; Tardigrada; Eutardigrada; Parachela; Macrobiotidae
Exons: 5
Source: RefSeq, a predicted model, not a curated record
AUACCAUGUUGCAACAAUUUUGAUACAUUUAAUUCAUGUUGCAUACCGGUUGGUGUGUCUGUCGGGUUUGCAUGUCCGUUAUCCAUUGUUAAACUGCGAAUCGUUUCCCGACAUACAGUACAGGAUAUGGCCAUGUUGCAACCAACAGGAAUAAAGUAUGUUGGAGGUGUUUAUGUUUGGGGAAGUAUUACUUCCAUUCAAUUCUGCAAGUUGACUUGGUUUCUGUUUUAAAUCUUCCUGAAUGGACGCAGUGUACUUCUCCCAGCUUCCGCUGCAGAUAGCACUCGUGUUUUCAACGCUCUUUAUGAGACAAUUCGACGUCGGAAAAGGUCACACUAAAGACGAACAGCAUCGCUUGCAUAAGCGAACAGCUAUUAGCCAAGUAACAACAAGCAUACGUACGCCAGAUGGGAAUGUCUGUGAUGGGCACGUCCUGAAUACGAAACAGAUUUCCUCAAACACCGAUGGUACGAAGGGGCAUCCGUACCGGGAUGCAGAUGCGAACGUCCAAGAAAAAGUCCGCUCGACAGUUGUUUUGCUCGGAGCCGAAGUGGAGAAAAAUAUAUAAACAUCAAUCGCAAGCGGAUCAGGCGGCAAAACCAUGCGGGUGAUGGUGGACAAAUGCCGGAACCAGUUUGAUAUACGAUCCGCAAAGUUUCCGGGUAUACCUGAAGUGGUGCUAGAGCGGCCGACCGGAAAGACGCGCUUUUCCUUCCCAUGCGCAUGAAAACUUGUAUUAAAAGAAUGUUUGCCAUGUACGAGUAGUCCAUUAACCUGCCUGCUUCGCUUUUACGAUAUUUCCCCAGAAUAUUAUUAUUAAAUAUACAUUCCUAACUCCGCCGUUUUAACUGUCCCUUUUCCUUCAACACGUUUCGGCCGUGAAUUUUGUUCGAUAGAUUUAAAAACGUCUAAAAUCCUGUAGCUUGUCCCUAUAACUUUAAUUUUCAAUCUUCUCGUCCUUUGAAUUACGAAGCAUGACCAAAACGAAUUUCGA